RNAcentral lists this ribosomal RNA (410 nucleotides) under uncultured eukaryote. Its description in RNAcentral is "SSU rRNA". It matches the Rfam family "Eukaryotic small subunit ribosomal RNA", at positions 592 to 1017 of the family's 1831-position model. The record is from RNAcentral.
CAAUAGCGUAUAUUAAAGUUGUUGCAGUUAAAAGCUCGUAGUUGGAUUUCGAACCGGGCCAGUUGGUCCGCCGCAAGGUGAGUUACUGACUGGUCUGUUCUUCUUCGCAAAGACUGCGUGUUCUCUUUGUUGAGUGGGCGUAGGAUUUACGACGUUUACUUUGAAAAAUUAGAGUGUUCAAAGCAGGCUAUCGCUUGAAUACAUGAGCAUAGAAUAAUGGAAUAGGACUUUGGUCCUAUUUUGUUGGUUUCUAGGACCGAAGUAAUGAUUAAGAGGGACAAUUGGGGCAGUCCGCUAUUUCGUUGUCAGAGGUGAAAUUCUUGAAAGACGAACAACUGCGAAAGCACUUGCCAAGAGUGUUUUCAUUAAUCAAGAACGAAAGUUAAAGGAUCGAAGACGAUUAGAUACCA